RNAcentral lists this ribosomal RNA (892 nucleotides) under uncultured bacterium. RNAcentral's name for it is "bacterial SSU rRNA". It matches the Rfam family "Bacterial small subunit ribosomal RNA", at positions 8 to 916 of the family's 1533-position model. The record is from RNAcentral.
AGAGUUUGAUCCUGGCUCAGGACGAACGCUGCGGCGCGCCUAACACAUGCAAGUCGAGCGAAUGAAGUUCCUUCGGGAACGGAUUUAGCGGCGGACGGGUGAGUAACACGUGGGCAACCUGCCUCAUAGAGGGGAAUAGCCUUCCGAAAGGGAGAUUAAUACCGCAUAAGAUUGUAGUACCGCAUGGUACAGCAAUUAAAGGAGCAAUCCGCUAUGAGAUGGGCCCGCGGCGCAUUAGCUAGUUGGUGAGGUAACGGCUCACCAAGGCGACGAUGCGUAGCCGACCUGAGAGGGUGAUCGGCCACAUUGGGACUGAGACACGGCCCAGACUCCUACGGGAGGCAGCAGUGGGGAAUAUUGCACAAUGGGGGAAACCCUGAUGCAGCAACGCCGCGUGAGUGAUGACGGCCUUCGGGUUGUAAAGCUCUGUCUUCAGGGACGAUAAUGACGGUACCUGAGGAGGAAGCCACGGCUAACUACGUGCCAGCAGCCGCGGUAAUACGUAGGUGGCGAGCGUUGUCCGGAUUUACUGGGCGUAAAGGGAGCGUAGGCGGAUUUUUAAGUGAGAUGUGAAAUACUCGGGCUUAACCUGAGUGCUGCAUUUCAAACUGGAAGUCUAGAGUGCAGGAGAGGAGGAGGGAAUUCCUAGUGUAGCGGUGAAAUGCGUAGAGAUUAGGAAGAACACCAGUGGCGAAGGCGCUUCUCUGGACUGUAACUGACGCUGAGGCUCGAAAGCGUGGGGAGCAAACAGGAUUAGAUACCCUGGUAGUCCACGCCGUAAACGGUGAAUACUAGGUGUAGGGGUUGUCAUGACCUCUGUGCCGCCGCUAACGCAUUAAGUAUUCCGCCUGGGGAGUACGGUCGCAAGAUUAAAACUCAAAUGAAUUGACGG